GGGGAGCAUUUAAAGUCAUUGAUGUUGCCUGAUAUACCCUUCCAACAACAAAAUCUCAAAUUUCCUGCUUGUUGAAUGUGAGUCAUGUUCGCAAGUCUCUUAACUAUGAGUCACAUAA
This is a small nucleolar RNA of Cynara cardunculus var. scolymus (artichoke), 118 nucleotides long. RefSeq annotates it as small nucleolar RNA snoR104. NCBI's taxonomy places the organism in Eukaryota, Viridiplantae, Streptophyta, Magnoliopsida, Asterales, Asteraceae. The record is from RefSeq and is a predicted model, not a curated record. The transcript has a single exon.